CCAGACUCCUACGGGAGGCAGCAGUGGGGGAUAUUGGACAAUGGGGGAAACCCUGAUCCAGCGACGCCGCGUGAGUGAAGAAGUAUUUCGGUAUGUAAAGCUCUGUCAGCAGGGAAGAAAGAAAUGACGGUACCUGACCAAGAAGCCCCGGCUAACUACGUGCCAGCAGCCGCGGUAAUACGUAGGGGGCAAGCGUUAUCCGGAAUUACUGGGUGUAAAGGGAGCGUAGACGGUGAUGCAAGUCUGAAGUGAACGCCCGGGGCUCAACCCCGGGACUGCUUUGGAAACUGUGUUGCUGGAGUGCUGGAGAGGCAAGCGGAAUUCCUAGUGUAGCGGUGAAAUGCGUAGAUAUUAGGAAGAACACCAGUGGCGAAGGCGGCUUGCUGGACAGUAACUGACGUUGAGGCUCGAAAGCGUGGGGAGCAAACAGGAUUAGAUACCCCGGUAU
Molecule: ribosomal RNA, 448 nt
Filed under: uncultured bacterium
Lineage: Bacteria
Description: bacterial SSU rRNA
Rfam family: Bacterial small subunit ribosomal RNA
Source: RNAcentral